UGGCCUACUGGGAGCAACCCUUGGAAGAGGCUCCUGAGCAGAGGAAGAAAACUGGAUGGAAUCGGAUUCUAUGAAACUAAAGACAGUGAGCUGAGCCGAGAAAGAAGUUCCGCAAGCUGUAACUCCAAGGAAGAACAUUCAAGAAAACAAAUUACAGGUGGGUCAGAUUGCCUCUUUGUAGAAAAAGACUUCUGAUUUCAGCUUGAAGAUGAAGAGAGCUGAAAAGACUAUCACACCCACCCUAAAGAAACUGACAAGAAUCAAAUCUUGAUUGCCCAGCACCCUCUCCAACCUCUCCAGCACCAUCUCUAUCAUCGUCCAAUUGAUGUCAACCUAUCUCUGUCUCAGAAAUGCCCCUUACAGUAAGCAAGAUAUGG
Long non-coding RNA from Nycticebus coucang (slow loris), 377 nucleotides. RefSeq lists it as uncharacterized. Lineage: Eukaryota; Metazoa; Chordata; Mammalia; Primates; Lorisidae. The transcript has 3 exons. The record is from RefSeq and is a predicted model, not a curated record.